CUAAAAGAUGGCUUCUCGCUAUCACUUCUGGAUGGACCUGCGGUGCAUUAGCUUGUUGGUGGGGUAACGGCCUACCAAGGCGAUGAUGCAUAGCCGAGUUGAGAGACUGAUCGGCCACAAUGGGACUGAGACACGGCCCAUACUCCUACGGGAGGCAGCAGUAGGGAAUCUUCCACAAUGGGCGCAAGCCUGAUGGAGCAACACCGCGUGAGUGAAGAAGGGUUUCGGCUCGUAAAGCUCUGUUGUUAAAGAAGAACACGUAUGAGAGUAACUGUUCAUACGUUGACGGUAUUUAACCAGAAAGUCACGGCUAACUACGUGCCAGCAGCCGCGGUAAUACGUAGGUGGCAAGCGUUAUCCGGAUUUAUUGGGCGUAAAGAGAGUGCAGGCGGUUUUCUAAGUCUGAUGUGAAAGCCUUCGGCUUAACCGGAGAAGUGCAUCGGAAACUGGAUAACUUGAGUGCAGAAGAGGGUAGUGGAACUCCAUGUGUAGCGGUGGAAUGCGUAGAUAUAUGGAAGAACACCAGUGGCGAAGGCGGCUACCUGGUCUGCAACUGACGCUGAGACUCGAAAGCAUGGGUAGCGAACAGGAUUAGA
RNAcentral lists this ribosomal RNA (596 nucleotides) under Limosilactobacillus fermentum. RNAcentral's name for it is "bacterial SSU rRNA". It matches the Rfam family "Bacterial small subunit ribosomal RNA", at positions 200 to 782 of the family's 1533-position model. The record is from RNAcentral. Lineage: Bacteria; Bacillati; Bacillota; Bacilli; Lactobacillales; Lactobacillaceae.